GAAAUAAGAUUUUAAAUGAGUGCUAAGAGAAUGAUUUAACAAUUAAAAGCUUUCUUUAAUUAAAAAAUUAAAUUUAAUUUUUUAGUGCAAAAGCAAAAAUAAAAUUUAGGGACAAGAAGACCCUAUGAAUUUUUAUUGUUAAUAAUUAAAAUUUUAGUUAUUAAUAAUUUAAUUGGGGCGAUAAAAAAAGAAUAAGUAUCUUUUUAGUUAUAAAAUAAGUUCCGUUUUUAGCGAUUAAAUGAAAUAAAUACUCUAGGGAUAACAGCGUAAUAAUUUUGGAUAGUUCAUAUAGAUAAAAUAGUUUGCGACCUCGAUGUUGGAUUAGGAUUCUU
RNAcentral lists this ribosomal RNA (332 nucleotides) under Ixodes scapularis (black-legged tick). RNAcentral describes it as "partial 16S ribosomal RNA". Lineage: Eukaryota; Metazoa; Arthropoda; Arachnida; Ixodida; Ixodidae. The record is from RNAcentral.